CCUAAUUAUAUUAAAACUACUCCCACCCCCACGGUACCCCUACCUAGUCGCCGACACUCCACCCCACCACACCCCUACCCCUCCCUGCCGCUGACGCCCCAUCUCCACCACUUCCUGUCCUCCGUCGCCGCCGUUGCUGUCCACCGUCACUGCCUGUUGCGGGAGCAUCAAGAGCUACUGGGGGAGAAUACCCUGAGAGAGUCGGUCAAUCUGUUUGCCAGGUUGGAGGAGGUGGAAUUGUAAGGGAUCCCUUGGUCCAUCAAGAGACGCUCGAGAGGGGUCAGGAAAUACCUCAAGAUGAAGUCUUCAAGAUUGCUCACACGAGGAAGGCGAAGAACGCUGAUGUCUCUAACACCCAACGUUGACUUUUUUGAUUCGUAUACUUUUGGAUUGUAAUAUUGCUAUGUUUUCUUGGAUAUGUAUAUUUUUUUUCAUGAUAGUUUUAAUUCGAAUUAGAUGUACUUUUGAAGGUGAAUUUGAUUGUAGGAAGUAGUUUAUGGAUGUUUUAACUUUACGAUGUUUAAGUGUUUGAAUGUAGAAAGUAGUUUAUGGUUGUUUAACUUUACGAUGUUCAAGUGUUUGAAU
Long non-coding RNA from Lycium barbarum (goji berry), 585 nucleotides. RefSeq lists it as uncharacterized. NCBI's taxonomy places the organism in Eukaryota, Viridiplantae, Streptophyta, Magnoliopsida, Solanales, Solanaceae. The record is from RefSeq and is a predicted model, not a curated record. The transcript is spliced from 4 exons.